Molecule: microRNA precursor, 84 nt
Filed under: Bombyx mori (domestic silkworm)
Lineage: Eukaryota; Metazoa; Arthropoda; Insecta; Lepidoptera; Bombycidae
Description: mir-2807 microRNA precursor family
Rfam family: mir-2807 microRNA precursor family
Source: Rfam by way of RNAcentral
UUAACUCAAAUUUGUAUGGAGUUGGAACGUUUGCGUACGUUUGCCGCUAGGGCCACUGUACCAAUACCAUACAAAUUUGAGUGA